UAACCUGCCCAAGAGAUCGGGAUAACACCUGGAAACAGAUGCUAAUACCGGAUAACAAUAGAUGAUGCCUAUCAACUGUUUAAAAGAUGGUUCUGCUAUCACUCUUGGAUGGACCUGCGGUGCAUUAGCUAGUUGGUAGGGUAACGGCCUACCAAAGGCGAUGAUGCAUAGCCGAGUUGAGAGACUGAUCGGCCACAUUGGGACUGAGACACGGCCCAAACUCCUACGGGAGGCAGCAGCC
Molecule: ribosomal RNA, 241 nt
Filed under: uncultured Lactobacillus sp.
Lineage: Bacteria; Bacillati; Bacillota; Bacilli; Lactobacillales; Lactobacillaceae
Description: partial 16S ribosomal RNA
Rfam family: Bacterial small subunit ribosomal RNA
Source: RNAcentral